GGCCGGGAACUCAAAGGAGACUGCCAGUGAUAAACUGGAGGAAGGUGGGGAUGACGUCAAGUCAUCAUGGCCCUUACGAGUAGGGCUACACACGUGCUACAAUGGCGCAUACAAAGAGAAGCGACCUCGCGAGAGCAAGCGGACCUCAUAAAGUGCGUCGUAGUCCGGAUUGGAGUCUGCAACUCGACUCCAUGAAGUCGGAAUCGCUAGUAAUCG
Molecule: ribosomal RNA, 216 nt
Filed under: Mesorhizobium sp.
Lineage: Bacteria; Pseudomonadati; Pseudomonadota; Alphaproteobacteria; Hyphomicrobiales; Phyllobacteriaceae
Description: partial 16S ribosomal RNA
Rfam family: Bacterial small subunit ribosomal RNA
Source: RNAcentral